CGCUGAAGACUGGUGCUUGCACUAGUCAGAUGAGUUGCGAACGGGUGAGUAACGCGUAGGUAACCUACCUCAUAGCGGGGGAUAACUAUUGGAAACGAUAGCUAAUACCGCAUGACAAUUAAGUACUCAUGUACUAAAUUUAAAAGGAGCAAUUGCUUCACUAUGAGAUGGACCUGCGUUGUAUUAGCUAGUUGGUGAGGUAACGGCUCACCAAGGCCACGAUACAUAGCCGACCUGAGAGGGUGAUCGGCCACACUGGGACUGAGACACGGCCCAGACUCCUACGGGAGGCAGCAGUAGGGAAUCUUCGGCAAUGGGGGCAACCCUGACCGAGCAACGCCGCGUGAGUGAAGAAGGUUUUCGGAUCGUAAAGCUCUGUUGUUAGAGAAGAACGGUAAUGGGAGUGGAAAAUCCAUUACGUGACGGUAACUAACCAGAAAGGGACGGCUAACUACGUGCCAGCAGCCGCGGUAAUACGUAGGUCUCGAGCGUUGUCCGGAUUUAUUGGGCGUAAAGCGAGCGCAGGCGGUUAUUUAAGUCUGAAGUUAAAGGCCGUGGCUCAACCAUGGUUCGCUUUGGAAACUGGAUAACUUGAGUGCAGAAGGGGAGAGUGGAAUU
This 618-nucleotide ribosomal RNA is filed under the name Streptococcus parauberis. Its description in RNAcentral is "bacterial SSU rRNA". It matches the Rfam family "Bacterial small subunit ribosomal RNA", at positions 65 to 668 of the family's 1533-position model. Lineage: Bacteria; Bacillati; Bacillota; Bacilli; Lactobacillales; Streptococcaceae. The record is from RNAcentral.